Molecule: long non-coding RNA, 1368 nt
Organism: Cucurbita maxima (winter squash)
Lineage: Eukaryota; Viridiplantae; Streptophyta; Magnoliopsida; Cucurbitales; Cucurbitaceae
Exons: 3
Source: RefSeq, a predicted model, not a curated record
ACACAUCCGAGUCCCUAUAUACCUCAUCUAUUUUGAAUCUGCGCUUUUUUUGCUUUUUCUUUUUGCUAGAGAGUCUAGGGAUUACAUCGUGCAAAGUAUUUCCAUCAUCAUCAGUUUGACAAUGGCUUGAUAUGAUAUGUGUACAAAAAUCGAUGUCCUCGGGGGAUCUGUGUGAUGUUUAUCUUGGCACUUCGAAGUUUGGAACACUUGGAAAAAAUGAAAGUAAAAAAAGAAAAAAAGAAUCAUUAGCUUUAACGGUUGAUGCAUUACUCAUUUAUCAGAAGCUUAGAAGCAUCCUGUACUGUGCUUUUUUGUGGAGCAGUUUUUAGAACUGUUUUAAAGUUGUGUUUAUAUUGUUCCUGCAUUUACUUUGUAUUGUUUGUGACCAUGUUUUCAGUAGAAACAUAUCUUUACAGGUUCAUCAUUCAAAACUUCAACAGCACUUCAAAUCAGCUCCUCCUGUUUUAGUUUCUAUUCUUUUACCCCAAUCUCAUUUUAUUUCUUCUCAUGGCUGUCAGCUUGUUGGAAAAAAAAAAAAAAGAAAAAAAGAACACAGGUCAUUUUCCCAAGGUAGGAUAAGUGUCCCACCUGGAAUUUUAUUGUAGGCACCAGUCAUGAUAUCAUUACUCUCUUGAAUUCUAGUCUACUCCAAAAACUUGUCUUAUUAUCAAUGUUAAUUGUAGGAAUGAAGAAAUGCAAUGCAAACGUUUUGUUUUAUUAAAUUAUUUGGCAGACAAAAGUGGAUGAAUGAAUGAAUCUGUGAUGCUAAGUUCAGCUUGUUAACAGCAAAAAGCUCAUGAAUCCCUCCAAUGGCAAUGGAUGAUCCAUUCUGAGUUGCAGGGGACUGUUUGUGAUUAGUUGUCAACAACCAAGAGGGACUAGAGAGAGAAAAAGGUGCAUGUGAGGAAAGGAGAGAAAGAGAGAAGACAAAAGCAAAUCCACAGUUGAAAGCUCAAACAUGGGUUGGUGCUCACGGCCGCAUUGGUUAUUAGGGUAAUCAAAUCACAUGCAUUAGGGGCAUAGGCUUUGGUAUUCCUUUAGUGAGUGCAAUGAUUAUGCAAAUAAGCACCACCACCACCACCCCAUUACACAACAUAUGCCCCUCUAGAACCACACGUACGCAUACAAAACUGAAGUGACUGCACACCAAUUCUCCUCUCUUUCCACCAUCUUUCAUCAUCCUAAGAUAAGAUUCUUCCCCAUGCAUGCUUUAGUUUCCACAAUAUGUUUAUAUCCAACACAUCUUAGACAGCUAUGGAACCCACUUCUUACCACAAUAGAUAUACAUAUUCCUGUAAAUUGAAUGCUACUUUCGUCGAUGUGCUUGUAUAUUCUCGAUUCACAUCAAUGCAGAAUGCCCAACGACCC